RNAcentral lists this ribosomal RNA (630 nucleotides) under uncultured bacterium. RNAcentral describes it as "bacterial SSU rRNA". It matches the Rfam family "Bacterial small subunit ribosomal RNA", at positions 872 to 1504 of the family's 1533-position model. The record is from RNAcentral.
CCUGGGAGUNCGNUCGCAAGAUUAAACUCAAAGGAAUUGACGGGGACCCGCACAAGCGGUGGAUGAUGUGGAUUAAUUCGAUGCAACGCGAAAAACCUUACGUACCCUUGACAUGGAUGGAAUCCUGAAGAGAUUUAGGAGUGCUCGCAAGAGAACCAUUACACAGGUGCUGCAUGGCUGUCGUCAGCUCGUGUCGUGAGAUGUUGGGUUAAGUCCCGCAACGAGCGCAACCCUUGUCAUUAGUUGCUACAUUAAGUUGAGCACUCUAAUGAGACUGCCGGUGACAAACCGGAGGAAGGUGGGGAUGACGUCAAGUCCUCAUGGCCCUUAUGGGUAGGGCUUCACACGUCAUACAAUGGUACAUACAGAGGGCCGCCAACCCGCGAGGGGGAGCUAAUCCCAGAAAGUGUAUCGUAGUCCGGAUUGUAGUCUGCAACUCGACUACAUGAAGUUGGAAUCGCUAGUAAUCGCGGAUCAGCAUGUCGCGGUGAAUACGUUCCCGGGUCUUGUACACACCGCCCGUCACACCAUGGGAGCGGGUUUCGCCAGAAGUAGGUAGCUUAACCGUAAGGAGGGCGCUUACCACGGCGGGAUUCGUGACUGGGGUGAAGUCGUAACAAGGUAGCCGUA